GCGCUCUUAGUUCAGUUCGGUAGAACGCGGGUCUCCAAAACCCGAUGUCGUAGGUUCAAAUCCUACGGAGCGUG
Transfer RNA from Oryza rufipogon (brownbeard rice), 74 nucleotides. It matches the Rfam family "tRNA". From Rfam's summary of the family: Transfer RNA (tRNA) molecules are approximately 80 nucleotides in length. The record is from Rfam. NCBI's taxonomy places the organism in Eukaryota, Viridiplantae, Streptophyta, Magnoliopsida, Poales, Poaceae.